AGCCCACGGUGUGGACAUCUUCUAAGCAGAUCCUUAAAUUGUUCCCAAGCCUCAUAUCAAGAUUCCCCAUCAAAUUGUGUGGAUGAAGUUAUAUCAUUGCUCAACUU
Molecule: small nucleolar RNA, 107 nt
Filed under: Theobroma cacao (cacao)
Lineage: Eukaryota; Viridiplantae; Streptophyta; Magnoliopsida; Malvales; Malvaceae
Description: Plant small nucleolar RNA R71
Rfam family: Plant small nucleolar RNA R71
About the family: R71 is a member of the C/D box family of snoRNAs containing the C (UGAUGA) and D (CUGA) box motifs.
Source: Rfam by way of RNAcentral